This 615-nucleotide ribosomal RNA is filed under the name uncultured bacterium. RNAcentral's name for it is "bacterial SSU rRNA". The stretch from base 1 to 518 matches the Rfam family "Bacterial small subunit ribosomal RNA", at positions 338 to 873 of the family's 1533-position model. The record is from RNAcentral.
CCUACGGGAGGCAGCAGUGGGGAAUAUUGGACAAUGGGCGAAAGCCUGAUCCAGCAAUGCCGCGUGAGUGAUGAAGGCCUUAGGGUUGUAAAGCUCUUUUACCAGGGAUGAUAAUGACAGUACCUGGAGAAUAAGCUCCGGCUAACUCCGUGCCAGCAGCCGCGGUAAUACGGAGGGAGCUAGCGUUGUUCGGAAUUACUGGGCGUAAAGCGUACGUAGGCGGUUAUUCAAGUCAGAGGUGAAAGCCUGGAGCUCAACUCCAGAACUGCCUUUGAAACUAGGUAGCUAGAAUCACGGAGAGGUUAGUGGAAUUCCGAGUGUAGAGGUGAAAUUCGUAGAUAUUCGGAAGAACACCAGUGGCGAAGGCGACUAACUGGACGUGUAUUGACGCUGAGGUACGAAAGCGUGGGGAGCAAACAGGAUUAGAUACCCUGGUAGUCCACGCCGUAAACGAUGAUAACUAGCUGUUCGGUCUCUACGAGACUGAGUGGCGCAGCUACGACAUUAAGUUAUCCGUCCGUCGGGUAGGUACGGUCGGCGAAGAAUUAAAACUUAAAACUUAAGUAAGUUAGUACGGCGUGAGACGUGCCGACGGACGACGACGAGGGAGGUAGG